RNAcentral lists this ribosomal RNA (923 nucleotides) under uncultured archaeon. Its description in RNAcentral is "bacterial SSU rRNA". It matches the Rfam family "Archaeal small subunit ribosomal RNA", at positions 1 to 904 of the family's 1478-position model. The record is from RNAcentral.
UUCGGGUUGAUCCUGCCGGACCCGACCGCUAUCGGGGUGAGGCUAAGCCAUGCGAGUCUGCGCUCUCAGCCAUGAGAGAGCGCGGCGCACGGCUCAGUAACAUGUGGUUAACCUACCCUCAGGACGGGGAUACCCUCGGGAAACUGAGGCUAAUCCCAGAUAGAUGAGGGAUCCUGGAAUGGUUCCUCAUCGAAAAGGCACGCAUAUCAUGCUAUGCGUGUCGCCUGAGGAUGGGACCGCAUCCUAUCAGGUAGUUGGUGGGGUAACGGCCCACCAAGCCUAUAACGGGUACGGGCCCUGAGAGGGGGAGCCCGGAGAUGGGUACUGAGACAAGGACCCAGGCCCUACGGGGCGCAGCAGGCGCGAAACCUCCGCAAUGCGCGAAAGCGCGACGGGGCCACCCCGAGUGCCAUCCGCUGAGGGUGGCUUUUCCCUAGUGUAGUAAGCUAGGGGAAUAAGCGGGGGGCAAGUCUGGUGUCAGCCGCCGCGGUAAUACCAGCUCCGCGAGUGGUCGGGACGAUUAUUGGGCCUAAAGCGUCCGUAGCCGGCCUAACAAGUCUCUGGUUAAAUCUCAAGGCUUAACCUUGAGAUCGCUGGAGAUACUGUUAGGCUAGGGGGCGGGAGAGGUUGAGGGUACUUCGCGGGUAGGGGCGAAAUCCUAUAAUCCGCGAAGGACCACCAGUGGCGAAGGCGCUCAACUGGAACGCGCCCGACGGUGAGGGACGAAAGCUAGGGGAGCAAAGGGGAUUAGAUACCCCCGUAGUCCUAGCUGUAAACGAUGCGGGCUAGGUGUUGGGUUGGCUUCGUGCCAACCCAGUGCCGCAGCGAAGGCGAUAAGCCCGCCGCCUGGGAAGUACGGCCGCAAGGCUGAAACUUAAAGGAAUUGGCGGGGGAGCACCACAAGGGGUGAAGCCUGCGGUUUA